RNAcentral lists this small nucleolar RNA (122 nucleotides) under Echinops telfairi (small Madagascar hedgehog). RNAcentral's name for it is "Small nucleolar RNA SNORA61 (ENSETEG00000026049.1)". Lineage: Eukaryota; Metazoa; Chordata; Mammalia; Afrosoricida; Tenrecidae. The record is from RNAcentral.
UUCCUCCAGACUCCUUACCCCUCAGAUCUAAAUAUUGAUCUGAGUGGCGACAGAAAGGUGGGAAAGUAAAACCGAGUGCGCUUGGAGUCCUUCGUGACCCGCAAGUUUCCUUUCAAACAUGG